RNAcentral lists this ribosomal RNA (428 nucleotides) under uncultured bacterium. Its description in RNAcentral is "partial 16S ribosomal RNA". It matches the Rfam family "Bacterial small subunit ribosomal RNA", at positions 354 to 796 of the family's 1533-position model. The record is from RNAcentral.
GUGGGGAAUAUUGGGCAAUGGGCGAAAGCCUGACCCAGCAACGCCGCGUGAGGGAAGAAGGUUUUCGGAUUGUAAACCUCUGUCCUUGGUGACGAACACAAUGACGGUAGCCAAGGAGGAAGCCCCGGCUAACUACGUGCCAGCAGCCGCGGUAAUACGUAGGGGGCAAGCGUUGUCCGGAAUGACUGGGCGUAAAGGGCGUGUAGGCGGCCGAUUAAGUCUGGAGUGAAAGUCCUGCUUUCAAGGUGGGAAUUGCUUUGGAGACUGGUUGGCUUGAGUGCGGAAGAGGCAAGUGGAAUUCCCAGUGUAGCGGUGAAAUGCGUAGAGAUUGGGAGGAACACCAGUGGCGAAGGCGACUUGCUGGGCCGUAACUGACGCUGAGGCGCGAAAGCGUGGGGAGCGAACAGGAUUAGAUACCCCGGUAGUCC